RNAcentral lists this ribosomal RNA (442 nucleotides) under uncultured bacterium. RNAcentral's name for it is "SSU rRNA". It matches the Rfam family "Bacterial small subunit ribosomal RNA", at positions 26 to 518 of the family's 1533-position model. The record is from RNAcentral.
AGAACGAACGCUGGCGGCAGGCUUAACACAUGCAAGUCGAGCGCCCCGCAAGGGGAGCGGCAGACGGGUGAGUAACGCGUGGGAACAUACCCUCCGGUUCGGAAUAGCUCAGGGAAACUUGGAUUAAUACCGGAUACGGCCUAGCGGCGAAAGAUUCAUCGCCGGAGGAUUGGCCCGCGUUCGAUUAGCUAGUUGGUGAGGUAAUGGCUCACCAAGGCGACGAUCGGUAGCUGGUCUGAGAGGAUGACCAGCAUCACUGGGACUGAGACACGGCCCAGACUCCUACGGGAGGCAGCAGUGGGGAAUAUUGGACAAUGGGCGCAAGCCUGAUCCAGCCAUGCCGCGUGGAUGAUGAAGGCCUUAGGGUUGUAAAGUCCUUUUAACGGGGAAGAUAAUGACGGUACCGUAGAAUAAGCCCGGCUAACUUCGUGCCAGCAGCCGC